Molecule: non-coding RNA, 126 nt
Filed under: Streptomyces griseus
Lineage: Bacteria; Bacillati; Actinomycetota; Actinomycetes; Kitasatosporales; Streptomycetaceae
Source: RNAcentral
AACGCACGCGCUAGGCUGCGUUCCGCCACGGGGGAAGUCCGGUCGAAAUCCGGCGCUGACCCGCAACGGUAGACGGAGCCCCCGGGUUCCGUGAGCCCGAUCACCCGCGGCGGAGAAGGCUCCUGA